AUGAAGCUAGUGAUGUGCUUGUGCAUCUUCAUCGUUCUCGUCAUCACCGCGUCGCCUAUCGCGGUCUCCGGUGACCGUCCGCUGAUGCUGGGCCGACGGUGCCUGCAGGACGCCGUGGUCAUCGGCGGCAGCCCAACCCCAACAGGGGCGAGCACCACAGGGACGUUGCCGCGUGACGCGGAGCCGGACAUAUCGGUUGAUAGGUCGAAGAGGCUCAGCCCCGGGGGAUCUAACCCCCAGCAUCACUGA
This 249-nucleotide ribosomal RNA is filed under the name Triticum aestivum (bread wheat). Its description in RNAcentral is "partial small subunit ribosomal RNA". The record is from RNAcentral. Lineage: Eukaryota; Viridiplantae; Streptophyta; Magnoliopsida; Poales; Poaceae.